This 75-nucleotide transfer RNA is filed under the name Staphylococcus aureus. RNAcentral describes it as "tRNA-Pseudo-TCC". The record is from RNAcentral. Lineage: Bacteria; Bacillati; Bacillota; Bacilli; Caryophanales; Staphylococcaceae.
AACGAUUAAUAAAUUUAGGCCAAUUACAUAACCUUAGGUCUUUUCGUAAUCCUUGGACAAGUUCGUAGGAGUGUC